GUUUUGUCAGGACUCCUGAUGACGUUUAGAGACAUGUCCUACAACUACAGCACCAGAAUUGUGCUGCUGAAGCAAGUCCGUUUUUUAAAAUUUUUGUUUUGUCGGGACUCCUGAUGACGUUUUGAGACAUCUACAACUACAGCACCAGAAUUGUGCUGCUGAAGCAAGUUUUGUCUGGACUCCUGAUGACGUUUUGAGACAUCUACAACUACAGCACCAGAAUUGUGCUGCUGAAGCAAGUCCAUUUUUUUGAAAUUUUUGUAAGGGUCCCCCCUUACGACAUUUUAGCAAAAACAUUUUUUCAUAAAAUAUACAUUUUCUUCCAUUUUUAGGUUUUU
Molecule: long non-coding RNA, 338 nt
Organism: Entelurus aequoreus (snake pipefish)
Lineage: Eukaryota; Metazoa; Chordata; Actinopteri; Syngnathiformes; Syngnathidae
Exons: 3
Source: RefSeq, a predicted model, not a curated record